RNAcentral lists this ribosomal RNA (500 nucleotides) under uncultured bacterium. RNAcentral describes it as "partial 16S ribosomal RNA". It matches the Rfam family "Bacterial small subunit ribosomal RNA", at positions 30 to 523 of the family's 1533-position model. The record is from RNAcentral.
AUUGAACGCUGGCGGAAUGCUUUACACAUGCAAGUCGAACGGCAGCACGGACUUCGGUCUGGUGGCGAGUGGCGAACGGGUGAGUAAUACAUCGGAACGUGCCCAGUCGUGGGGGAUAACGUAGCGAAAGCUACGCUAAUACCGCAUACGAUCUAAGGAUGAAAGCGGAGGAUCGCAAGACCUCGCGCGAUUGGAGCGGCCGAUAUCAGAUUAGGUAGUUGGUGAGGUAAAGGCUCACCAAGCCGACGAUCUGUAGCUGGUCUGAGAGGACGACCAGCCACACUGGGACUGAGACACGGCCCAGACUCCUACGGGAGGAAGCAGUGGGGAAUUUUGGACAAUGGACGCAAGUCUGAUCCAGCCAUUACGCGUGCAGGACGAAGGCCUUCGGGUUGUAAACUGCUUUUGUACAGAACGGAAAGGUCUCUAUUAAUACUAGGGGCUCAUGACGGUACUGUAAGAAUAAGCACCGGCUAACUACGUGCCAGCCGCCGCCGUAA